Molecule: transfer RNA, 87 nt
Filed under: Nitrosopumilales archaeon
Lineage: Archaea; Thermoproteati; Nitrososphaerota; Nitrososphaeria; Nitrosopumilales
Also listed under: 1 other name
Description: tRNA-Ser
Rfam family: tRNA
About the family: Transfer RNA (tRNA) molecules are approximately 80 nucleotides in length. Their secondary structure includes four short double-helical elements and three loops (D, anti-codon, and T loops).
Source: RNAcentral
GCGGAGGUCGCCUAGCCUGGUAGGGCGUGGGAUUGCUAAUUCCAUGACUUUCGGGUCACGGGGGUUCGAAUCCCCCCCUCCGCGCCA